Molecule: long non-coding RNA, 1087 nt
Organism: Astatotilapia calliptera (eastern happy)
Lineage: Eukaryota; Metazoa; Chordata; Actinopteri; Cichliformes; Cichlidae
Source: Ensembl
AAACAGUGCUGACAAACCUGAGAAAAAGAAUCACAAACACACCUGAAAAACAUAAUAUAACAUAAAUGUUCAAGGAGCAAAAGAAGAAGGAAAAAAAUUAACAGAAGCACACGUUUCUCAAAGCAGCCAGCUGGGAACACAAGAGCAGACACAUAAAAUAUACAGCCCCGGUCUCCCCCUCGCUCUCACAGGUGGAGAGAGCCUGUGACCGCAAAGUAGAGAAAACGGGGAAAACUAUGUGGAAAGCACUGAGGUGAGAAAUCAAACAAACCAUCAGGGUUUCCACGACAGCACCACACAGUAAACACACGGGAGCUCGGAGCUUUUCCAAACAGAGAUAUUUACAAAGUUUGCCACACCAGUGAGCAGCUGUUACCUCUAACUAAUUCAUACCCAGCAGCUAAAAUCUUAGCCCAAGGUUUUCCCAGUUCGCCGUUUCAGCGAACGGCUUAAAAUGCAUGUUCGACCGAUGAAUGAGCACGGCUAACACGUCAACAAUACAGCUCCUGCAUUAGCUGAAGUGUCUGGAAAAGUAAAUGAAAGAAAAACAACAAACUAGCAUGAGUGUGGCUACACCAAAAAUAAUGAGACUGAAUGCGUGCCUUUCUCAGGUCAUUGGCGAAGCAUUAAACUGAGCUCUUGGCUUGGCUGCUACACAGCUCACAAAAAAAAAAAAAAAAAAAGCAUCACAUGCUGAACUUCACCUUGAUGGCUCCUUGGAAGAAGCCUUGGCUACGGACUGUCCUGUCAGGAGAGCACCACCCACGGUUGAAUGAAAGGCGCUAAUCCGUAUACAGGAAAUACACACAAUCCUACAACAAUCACGCUCAUACAAGGAUACUGCUCAGUCUGACUCAAAGUGUGCUGGCAGACGUGUAUUACUUUGAAUCUGUAGGUUUAGAGGAAUGAAUAGAAUUCCUAUAAUUUCCUAUGCAUUCCUCCUCCCUACCCCACUGGUCACUUGUCUAAGCUUGCCCCAGCCCAUACAGCUUUGUUGACACUCUACCCUUGCCAAGAUCUGGGAAUUUGCAAGGAAAACACUCAUAACGUCCAAAUGGAUUAACCCAUAUCCCCACUUACAUUCUUC